Molecule: ribosomal RNA, 97 nt
Filed under: Halobatrachus didactylus (Lusitanian toadfish)
Lineage: Eukaryota; Metazoa; Chordata; Actinopteri; Batrachoidiformes; Batrachoididae
Source: RNAcentral
UACGCCCGAUCUCGUCCGAUCUCAGAAGCUAAGCAGAGUUGGGCUUGGUUAGUAGUUGGAUGGGAGACUGCUUGGGAAUACCAGGUGCCGUAAGCCU